CAACCUGCCCUUCCAGAGGGGGACAACAGUUGGAAACGACUGCUAAUACCGCAUAAUGUAUCCGGGAGGGCAUCUCCUGGAUACCAAAGGAGAAAUCCGCUGAUGGAUGGGCUCACGUCUGAUUAGCUAGUUGGUGAGGUAACGGCUCACCAAGGCUGCGAUCAGUAGCCGGACUGAGAGGUUGAACGGCCACAUUGGGACUGAGAUACGGCCCAG
Molecule: ribosomal RNA, 216 nt
Filed under: uncultured bacterium
Lineage: Bacteria
Description: partial 16S ribosomal RNA
Rfam family: Bacterial small subunit ribosomal RNA
Source: RNAcentral